CUCACCUGUAAGCAGCGGCCAGGUCAGGAGGGGGACAAGGGAGAGGCUCCGAGCUGAAAGGCAGCCAGUCUGUGGGGACCAUGAGAGCAGACACAUGCAGACACACGCAGGUACAGCACUGCCCCGGGCCAGCAGGAAGGGUAUUGUGGUUCCAGCAAGAGGGGAACUGAGUGGUGUCAUCUGGUGCUGUGUCUUCACUUACCAGUGCUUUUAAUGUCAGUCAGACUGCUUCCCAGAUAAGAAAGGACUAGCAUACGGAGUCAGUACAGAAGAAGAAGAUUUCUUCUCCUCAAAGGUCUUUAUGCACCUUUUCCUCCAGCCCUGUGUUCUCUCCCUCACAUGAUGUAUAUGCACAUCUUCCUCCCCAUCCCCACCCCAGUCCCCCCCCCACACACACAUACCCCACCUGGAGGCCACCAUGGUCGUUGCUCAACCAGGCAAGUGCUUGUGACCCCAACCUCUGAAGUCCUGCAUCCUGAAGGUCCUAUACACUGCCUCAGAAGAACACAUAGUUUGGCUACAGCACCCCUUCUCGGCCAGUGAGAUGGGGCCUGACUAGCUUUCCCUACCUACCAGUGUUCUCAACCGUGAAUUCCCUCAAGUAUCAGAACUCCUUGCCUGGGCUGCUCACCGGGAGUGAGGAUUCCAAACAGUUGCCUGUGGAAUCCCAGGCUGCGUUGCCAGCACCCACCAUCACUUCAAUCCCACCCCAUAUCAGGACUUCAGAAACCCCAGGAGACACACCGCAUGUUCAUCAUUCUCUCAGGCGUGGUCUAAGCAUUUCUUUGUGGAAGGGCAUCACUCAGCAUAAUCUGAGGGAGAGGGUGAACUGGGUCAGCAGCCAUUUUGCGCCCAUUCUUAUCCCUUUUGUGCAAACCACAUUUCCACACUUUGCCUCCUGAGUCCAGAAAUUGGCCUCUGUGCCCAGUGGUAUUCAGAGAGGGCCAGCUGGGCUCCUAGUGGCCAUGAGUCCAGUUCUGGGACUUCAUGGCCUCUAAUAGAAAAUGCAGGUACCUGUAAGUCGUCAGUCUGUUGUGUACUCCCUCAGGCCCACAGAGAGGAAUGUUGCCUUAAAAUUGUGGAGCUUGGCAGUGUUUGAGUCAAUGAUCUCCCAGGGUACUGUGCCCUGUCAGGAUUCCUUCAAGGGGUGGUUUAAACCACGUGAAAAACGGUUCUUGAAUUUGGACUAUUCUUAAAAUGUGGAAGGCUUGAGCCAUGGCUCAAAGGGAGAGCACUUGCUUAGCUCUGGACUCAGGGUUUGAACUCAAGCAAAACAAAAAAGAGGGGGUGGGGAGUAGGAUUGUGUCUAGAGCGACUGCGGACAGGGUGCCUGGUACCUCUUUCUACCUAUUGUAACCUUACCUCCUGGCUGUUUCCUGUGGGAACAGGGACUGAGGAUGUCUGCAAAGAGCAUCUAGGACUUGUUGUAGCUUUUAAGCCUGUAAAGUGUUGAUUCUCCUCCUCCUGUAAUAAAACAGUUACCGGAGAAUACAAGA
Molecule: long non-coding RNA, 1496 nt
Filed under: Rattus norvegicus (Norway rat)
Lineage: Eukaryota; Metazoa; Chordata; Mammalia; Rodentia; Muridae
Description: long non-coding RNA NONRATT005533
Source: RNAcentral